CAGUCGCCGCGGGAAUACGAACCGUGCGAACGUUGUUCGGAAUUACUGGGCGUAAAGCGCACGUAGGCGGCUUGGUAAGUUAGAGGUGAAAGCCCGGAGCUCAACUCCGGAAUUGCCUUUAAGACUGCCGAGCUAGUAGGUGAGAGAGGUAAGUGGAAUUCCGAGUGUAGAGGUGAAAUUCGUAGAUAUUCGGAGGAACACCAGUGGCGAAGGCGGCUCACUGGUCCAUUACUGACGCUUAGGUGCGAAAGCGUGGGGAGCAAACAGGAUUAGAUACCCCAGUAGUCCCUGUCUCUUAUAC
RNAcentral lists this ribosomal RNA (301 nucleotides) under uncultured bacterium. RNAcentral describes it as "partial 16S ribosomal RNA". It matches the Rfam family "Bacterial small subunit ribosomal RNA", at positions 509 to 807 of the family's 1533-position model. The record is from RNAcentral.